Xenia sp. Carnegie-2017 is the source of this 870-nucleotide long non-coding RNA. RefSeq lists it as uncharacterized. Lineage: Eukaryota; Metazoa; Cnidaria; Anthozoa; Malacalcyonacea; Xeniidae. The record is from RefSeq and is a predicted model, not a curated record. The transcript has 4 exons.
CAUGGCUGACCUAAAGCAAACAAAAAGACUAUCGCAAAAUAAGUCUACCAAAGUUUUCUACAAGAUAUACGUACGUCUUAAGUGAAGUCGAUGUUUAUCGAUGAGUUUCAGCAAUAUCAAACUGUUUCGUCCUGAUGGCUGCCCAUAACGCACAGUUGCCAUACUCAUCAUUGACGUCAACCUUGGCCCCAGACCUACACAGAGCGUCCACAACUGGCUGUAAACGAUGACCGAUAGCCAACUGAAGAGCUGAUUGGUUUUCCUUUGUUCUGACGUAAGAGAAACGAAUGGAUAUAAAGCAUUGGAUGUAACUUUACCAGCCAUGCUUUCACAGAAGGGUCUGGAAACUAGAUGCACAGCAUUCAGGCAUUAGGGCAUUUUAUCAUCAACAACAAACGAAUAUGUUGUUCUUCCAUCUAUCUUAGUCACACACCCAAAAGCAAAAGACAUUACCUGACAUUGAUGUCUGCUCCCCGUUUGAUGAGAAACAAGGAACUAGGUGCAUCCUUUCUAACUAUUGAUUUUAACAUUAACGUGAAACCCUCCGAAUCUGGAAGAUCGAUGCUCGCUCCAGCUUCCAAGAGACUCUCAGCUAAACGAUACUGAGCAGUAAAGAGCGCGUGUGCCAACGCCGAUUGCUCUUCUGCGUCACAAAUAUCGAAGUCAGGAGCUAAAUUCAAGCGACCACCACUGCUAACCUUGUCUGAGAGAAUUUUGAUCAAUGAGAACAGAUCUAUUUUCGAUCCAAUUACAAAAGAAACAUUUCAUGCUGAUGAAAACGAGCCCAUAAAAGAACAAUUAUCAGCUGUGGCUGCCGAUGCAGCGCGGAUGUCGUCAAUGAAAGGGUUGCUCAGGUCUGAUGGACUUAAC